UAUGCAUUCAUUAAAUUCAAUAGCGUUUUAAAUACGUACACAUUGCUCAAAGUCGUAAGCCUUGACAAAUAAAAAUAAAUUUGGUUCUGAAAAUUGGCUACAAAUGAAUACUGUUUCGAUUUCAAAAUUUAAAAUGCCUGCAUUUUUCAGAAAAUCCACCAUCUUUCAAUUACAUAAUUGCGCCAUCUCUUUAUACCAACCUAAAUUCCAGGAUCUGUGAUGUUAAACGUCGCAACGAUUUUACUUCCCCGAGGUAAACCUUCGCGCGCAUCGCUUAGCCAUGUCUGACUGGGGAUUUGUACAUACCUCAUCCGUAAUCAUCGGAGUGCAAAAUAUUUACUUGCCAGUUCAACCAUACAUACGUCAUCGCUACAGCAAUUUGGACCACCCUCCGUCAUAAUAAAUCUGCAACAUUAUCCAGUCCCCGCUGCAACAAGUAAUCUGUUAUCUUCCAUUUUCAACUAGGUUAUUACCACAAAUAUUUACGAACAAAUGUAUGCAUGUGAUACAUAUGUGUUUCUUUAUCUAAAAUAGCACCUAAUUCCACUACUGUAGAUUUUAAUUAUGACAAUCUUUCUAUGAUAUCGUAAAAAUUCUUUAAAUCCUAUACGCACAGGGAGCAAAAAAAAGUGAAUACAGCUUUAAGUAGUUUUUAUUACGGUUAGAUCCCGUGCCCUUAGCAAUUUGAAAUUCCGCGCGCAGUGAUGUAAAAAAGUUCUAACAUUUGACCUUCCCGUGACCAUAAAAAUCGGCGGCACGGAAUUAUUCGUCAAUUAGUUUAUACAACUGCGUGCAGAAUUUCAAAAUGCACGGGAUCAUACCAUAAUAAAAAAUAUGUAAAUGUUUAUUUGCUUUUUUGCUGACUGUACUUAUAAUUUGAUUAUAAAUAUCAACCUCUUAAAAUAAUUCUUAAAAAUUAAUCCUCAUUGUUUUAAAAUCUCACGAUAUUCGGAGCUUGUUAAGUUUUGCUAGUUACAGCACAGCGAGAAUUAGGAUACUAGCUGUUGAAAUCGUAAAACCUAAUAGUCCUUUUCACUUUAUCUAUGUAUUGAAACCACACAUAUUUAGUUGACGUCCGCGUCUCCUCCUAUAAGGAACCAAAAGUUAGAUCUGCAUAUGUACACAUAGGCAUGUCUUUUCACCUUUCUUUUGAGUUAAUGUAUGUAUCAAAUGUUAGGGAAUGCUAAUGACAGGAUAUUUGUAUUAUAUAUCCUCGCCUAUUGGCUUAUCUGGAUCAAAUGAAUCUUGAGUAUCUAUAAUUAAAUACGUCAAUCAAUAAUAAUUAGUUGCGUCAUGGAUAGCGUACUCAAUACCUGUAAAUAAGUAGCAUGGCUGUGUAAUCCAUGUUACAGUCGCCGAUUGGAUACUGGCUCAUUGUACGUUAUGUAAUUGCUGAGAUCUUGUUAUGCUAUCUAGGUUAACCUGCCUAAAUAUGAUGGUUUGAAGUGUAACUGCUCUACUCUUGUUGGAAUAUCAUUUGAGGCUAUUAGAGCUUCGUUUGCCUUUUUUCGAAUUAUAUCAUAGCUUGACAUUUCAACUGAAAUUAUUUAAUCAUACUAUUUCAUAAUACUUUUAGGUUAAUUCCGCUUUACUGGAAGUUGUGAGGGUUGUUGUAAGGGAGUUGAAAGAUCUACACCGGGUGUAGUGCAUUUUCGCUUCGGUCGACCACUCCUGACACAAAUAAUAUGCAAACCUUGGCUAUGUACUUUAACUGGUUGCCCAGACAGCAAAUCAUGCACUUGAUUAAUGUUUAUUUGCGGUUUCUCAUCUCUGAUGGAAAGUUGGACAUGUAAUCCUAAGUCUUGUGAUGGAUGUAUUGAUCCAGAAGUGUUGUCAAAUUCAUCGUUAGGAAUUGAUGCUAUUUGCUCGCGAUUAAUAAAUGAUGAAACUGGCGAAUUGUUGUCAAGUUUAUCUUCUUCUUUGAUUUGAUUUUCUGACUCAGGAAGCGAGGCGUAGGGGCGGCAGUAGUAUCUUCAGGUACUAAAUAUGUUUGAGUUAUCAUUAUCGCCUUUAAAAUCUGCCUGCGAGCAAUCAUUUGCCUUAUCCUUCCAACACCCACAUCUACUACUUUCUUAUUAUGCAAUCAUUGUUGUUGUCAAUUUUUCGUUCCUUGCCACUAAUAUUAAAUCUUGCUACAGGUCUCUUUGCAACACUGUGCUCUAUUUUGGAAAUCUUUGACUAAUUCAUGGAGGGUAGAGUAGUAAUUUUAUUAAUUUCUGAUUUUACACAAAGCUGUAAAUUUUUAAAACAGUGCUGCAUAUGGGCUGAGUUUUCAUUGAAGAGGAGAUAUUUUUAGCUUAAUUAGUUUAGUUGGGUUAGUUAGUUUGGUUCUAAAGAACCCAAUUUUAAUUAAAUUAAAUUCGGCUUAGGUUUUUGAAUGUAAAAUCAUUACCAUGUUUUUCCGUCUUUUGCCAUGGAAUUUAUGGUGCGGGUGGAAUUAGAUCCUAUGCGUUGAUUGCCGGAUGGGUAUUUAUUUCUCCUCAAAUACAAUUUA
Folsomia candida is the source of this 2494-nucleotide long non-coding RNA. RefSeq lists it as uncharacterized. Lineage: Eukaryota; Metazoa; Arthropoda; Collembola; Entomobryomorpha; Isotomidae. The transcript has 2 exons. The record is from RefSeq and is a predicted model, not a curated record.